GGAGCCCUGGUCAGGCCACUCUGCUACUGACCACAGUUUUCUCAUCUCUAAAAAGGCGCAGUAACAAUAUAAUUACCGUAUGCAGUCCCCCAGGAUACAGGGUCAAAGGAGAGCACAACCAUCGCAGUUGGAAGCCCAUGGGGCAGGAGCCGUCCUCACUCCCUCUAUUGCCUCUCCAGACCCAGACUUCACCCUCAGGUCACCCUCACCUGGACUUUGGGGUGCCCCACACCCCGCCCCAGGCCCUGGCCUCUGGAAUAUUUGGAAACUUGAACUGGGCCAGAGGCUUAAGCUCACAUCUGUCUGGAGCCUCAACUUUCUCCUCUGUAAAAUGGGCUAACACUGAAAGAACCUUGCAGAAUCUCAGCAACGUCACAGAGGACAUUGUUAGCACAGCCAGCGGGCUCCUGCUGGGCUGAGUUUGUGGGUAAUCCAAGCCUCGGCAGGUACAGUUCCUCCCUCAGAAGCAAGGUCUCGCUGUGUUACCCUGGCUGGAGUGCAGUGGCUACUUACAGGCAUGAUCAUAGCAUACUGCAGCCUCGAACUCCUGGACUAGAGCAGUUCUCCUGCCUCAGCCUCCAGAGCAGCUGGGACUGCAGACACGCACCACAGAGCCCAGCCUGAGUCAUUUUGAUUCUGUAACUGGCUUCCUCUCGGCGGGCAGGCUCACACCCUCCACCCCCAGCUGGAGAUGGAAGGAGGAUGCUCACCGCCCAUUCCUCAUGCAGGCCAUCGAUGGAAAUGUCAGACAGUGCGAGUCCACGCCUGAACACUUCUGGGGUCCGCUCUGGGACUGACACUGGCAGAUCCAUCGGUGAGCUCCCGCCUGCCACCUCUGGGCCUGCAUUGCGGUGAUAGGGCCAAGGGCCUGGGCCUUCAAUUCUCCAGACUUGCCAAAAUGCUCAGCGCAGGCCUCGUCGGCAACUGCAGACAAGCAGAGGCAGCACCUGGGCUCUGCCUGUGCCUGGCACAGUGAAGCGAGGGUGGGGGCAGGAAUGAGGGUCCUCUCCAUGCAAGGGGGGAAGAUAGAAGAACAAAAUUUCACCCUAA
RNAcentral lists this long non-coding RNA (1050 nucleotides) under Homo sapiens (human). RNAcentral describes it as "long intergenic non-protein coding RNA 963". The record is from RNAcentral. Lineage: Eukaryota; Metazoa; Chordata; Mammalia; Primates; Hominidae.